This 1025-nucleotide long non-coding RNA is filed under the name Capra hircus (goat). RNAcentral describes it as "lncRNA (ENSCHIG00000002400.1)". The record is from RNAcentral. Lineage: Eukaryota; Metazoa; Chordata; Mammalia; Artiodactyla; Bovidae.
AUGAACAAUUGCUUCUCUAAUAUCUGCCGAUUCCCCCCAGCAGAACAGCAGAUCUGCUCUCAUCGUAUUUGGAAGACACCGAGAGGGCUUCACCCUGGCCCUCAAGCUGAGUGGUCUUUGUGUCUUUAUAGCAGCUUGGGGUCCUUCCUCUUGAAUCCCGUUUCCCAGGGACAAAAGCACAACCUCUCACCUGGGGGCCAAGAAUUGUUAGAGAAACAGCAGCCAGAAAGAAGAAAAAUACACCUGUCUUUUCCCGGCAACCACGAGUUACAGAAAACUAGCCGGCUUUGGUCUCAGCUGACAUUCUGGGCAGGAUCUCCCCCUUGGAGCAGUUUCGCGUCCUCCGACAUUUGGUGCAUGGUUAUCAAUGUGGCCACUGCUUUCCUUUGUUCCUGUCAGAUCUGACUUCCAGGAGCUUUAUACCUUCACCCAGCAAGGCAGCAACUUGCCUUCCCUGCCUCGACUAAGGGUCGGGUCCUUGCCCUUUCCAGCCACCUCAGCGAUGACUUCGUACAUAGGAACUCUGGAGGGCCAGAGCCCAGCGGGUGUGACCUAAGAGGGACAAUGACGGUCACUGAAACUACAGCAGCCUGCCACCUGGGGGAGGUUCUGGGGCUCCAGUCGUCCUGAGUCUGGACCCACAGAGGAGGCACAAACCUUCAUGGGUUUGUUCUGGAUCAGGAAGGCAGCCUACACUUCCCUGGGUGCCCUUCUCGGGGCUGUUAGGCAAGGAAGAUAAAGCUCCACUUCUGGGGAGGCUGGGCGAGGCAAAGCUCCUUUGGCAGCUUUGGGCCACAGGAUGACGUGAAAUGGGCCACCAGCCCAUUCUUGGGACCUUGGGACCUCAGUCACCCUGGAAGUGUAGGUAACAGCUGAAGGAUCAUUCACUUAAUCCAUAUUCACUGGACAUCAAUUAUGUGCUAGGCACUGUGCUGGCUGCUGGUGUGUGUGAUUGUGUAUGUGUGUGUGUGUAAUAUGGAGUGCCUAUUUAUAAUGAAUAAAAACAGUAUGAAUGAUGAUGACAG